CUACGGGUCGCUCCAGUGGGGAAUAUUGCACAAUGGAGGAAACUCUGAUGCAGCAACGCCGCGUGGAGGAUGACACUUUUCGGAGCGUAAACUCCUUUUAUAUAGGAAGAUAAUGACGGUACUAUAUGAAUAAGCACCGGCUAACUCCGUGCCAGCAGCCGCGGUAAUACGGAGGGUGCAAGCGUUACUCGGAAUCACUGGCGUAAAGAGCGUGUAGGCGGAUAGAUAAGUCAGGAGUGAAAUCCUAUGGCUCAACCAUAGAACUGCUCUUGAAACUGUCUAUCUAGAAUAUGGGAGAGGUAGAUGGAAUUUCUGGUGUAGGGGUAAAAUCCGUAGAGAUCAGAAGGAAUACCGAUUGCGAAGGCGAUCUACUGGAACAUUAUUGACGCUGAGACGCGAAAGCGUGGGGAGCAAACAGGAUUAGAUACCCCCGUAGUC
RNAcentral lists this ribosomal RNA (438 nucleotides) under uncultured bacterium. RNAcentral describes it as "partial 16S ribosomal RNA". It matches the Rfam family "Bacterial small subunit ribosomal RNA", at positions 339 to 795 of the family's 1533-position model. The record is from RNAcentral.